This 1188-nucleotide ribosomal RNA is filed under the name metagenome. RNAcentral describes it as "SSU rRNA". It matches the Rfam family "Eukaryotic small subunit ribosomal RNA", at positions 603 to 1783 of the family's 1831-position model. The record is from RNAcentral.
AUUAAAGUUGUUGCAGUUAAAAAGCUCGUAGUUGGACUUGUGUGCGCUGUCCGCGGGUGGCCUGCGCCCAAAAGGGCGUUUCGGUUCGGCCCCGGUGGCGCCUUGAAAUCUGCAGCUGGGAGGACGUUGGCCUUAACUGGUCGGCGACCGCACGCCGGCUGCUCGGUUACUGUGAGAAAAUUAGAGUGUUCAAGGCAGGCAUUGGGUGCAAUUGAAUACAUUAGCAUGGAAUAAUAAAAUAUGGCUCCUGCCGUAUUUUGUUGGUUUUGACUGGUGGGAGUAAUGAUUGAUAGGGACGGUUGGGGGUGCUAGUAUUGAGCGGCCAGAGGUGAAAUUCAUGGAUUCGCUCAAGACUAACUUAUGCGAAAGCAUUCACCAAGGACGUCCUCUUUAAUCAAGAACGAAAGUUGGGGGAUCGAAGACGAUCAGAUACCGUCGUAGUCUCAACCAUAAACUAUGUCGACUUGGGAUCGGCGGUAGUUUUUUUCAUUAAGACACUGUCGGGACCACGGGAGAAAUCAAAGUGUCUGGACUCUGGGGGAAGUAUGGUCGCAAGGCUGAAACUUGAAGGAAUUGACGGAAGGGCACCACCAGGAGUGGAGCCUGCGGCUUAAUUUGACCCAACACGGGGAAACUUACCAGGUCCAGAGAUGUAGAGGAUUGACAGAUUGAAGCUCUUUCUUGAUCACUUCGGUGGUGGUGCAUGGCCGUUCUUAGUUGGUGGAGUGAUUUGUCUGGUUAAUUCCGUUAACGAUCGAGACCUCAGCCUGCUAGUGUAGUCGGCUGGAUUGCCUUUGGCGAUCCGUGAUUUCGACUUCUUAGAGGGACAAUCGACGCGCAGUCGAUGGAAGUUUGAGGCAAUAACAGGUCUGUGAUGCCCUUAGAUGUUCUGGGCCGCACGCGCGCUACACUGCUGGGCUCAGCGAGUUUUACUUGGCCGAGAGGCCCGGUUAAUCUUGUGAAAUCCCAGCGUGCUUGGGCUCGCCUCCUGCAACUGGAGGCGCCAACGAGGAAUUCCUAGUAGACGCAGGUCAUCAACCUGCAUCGAUUACGUCCCUGCCCUUUGUACACACCGCCCGUCGUUCCAUAAGAGUGAGGCAUCCGGUGAAUUCUCGGGAGAGCCUGGGCGUGGCCAGCAAUGGUCUGCUCGGGUUUGAACUUGCAUAAACUUGGUGCCUAUGAUUAGGG